GUGCCAGCCGCCGCGGUAAUACGGAGGGUGCAAGCGUUACUCGGAAUUACUGGGCGUAAAGGGAGCGCAGGCGGUCUAUUAAGUCAGGUGUGAAAGCCCGGGGCUCAACCCCGGAACUGCACCUGAAACUGGUAGACUUGAGGAUGAGAGAGGAAAGUAGAAUUUCUGGUGUAGAGGUGAAAUUCGUUGAUAUCAGAAGGAAUACCCGUGGCGAAGGCGGCUUUCUGGCUCAUUUCUGACGCUGAGGCUCGAAAGUGUGGGUAGCAAACAGGAUUAGAUACCCUGGUAGUCCACACCGUAAACGAUGAAUGCUAGGCGACCGGUUCGUUUAUCGACUGGGUGCCGCAGUUAACGCAUUAAGCAUUCCGCCUGGGGAGUACGGUCGCAAGAUUAAAACUCAAAUGAAUUGGCGG
RNAcentral lists this ribosomal RNA (413 nucleotides) under uncultured OM27 clade bacterium. Its description in RNAcentral is "bacterial SSU rRNA". It matches the Rfam family "Bacterial small subunit ribosomal RNA", at positions 505 to 916 of the family's 1533-position model. The record is from RNAcentral. Lineage: Bacteria; Pseudomonadati; Pseudomonadota; Gammaproteobacteria.